RNAcentral lists this ribosomal RNA (335 nucleotides) under uncultured bacterium. Its description in RNAcentral is "partial 16S ribosomal RNA". It matches the Rfam family "Bacterial small subunit ribosomal RNA", at positions 338 to 689 of the family's 1533-position model. The record is from RNAcentral.
CCUACGGGAGGCAGCAGUGGGGAAUAUUGCACAAUGGGGGAAACCCUGAUGCAGCAACGCCGCGUGAAGGAAGACGGUUUUCGGAUUGUAAACUUCUGUUCUUAGUGAAGAAUAAUGACGGGAGCGAAGGAGCAAGCCACGGCUAACUAGGUGCCAGCAGCCGCGGUAAUACGCCGGUGGCAAGCGUGGGCCGGAAUUACUGGGUGUACAGGGAGCGCAGGCGGGAAGCCAAGUCAGCUGUGAAAACUACGGGCUUAACUUGUAGACUGCAGUUGAAACUGGUUUUCUUGCGUGCAGUAGAGGUUGGCGGACUUCCGAGUGUAGCGGUGAAAUGC